GUCCACGCAGUAAACGAUGGGUACUAGGUGUGGCGGGAGUUGACCCCUGCCGUGCCGGCGCUAACGCAGUAAGUACCCCGCCUGGGGAGUACGGCCGCAAGGCUAAAACUCAAAGGAAUUGACGGGGGCCCGCACAAGCAGCGGAGCGUGUGGUUUAAUUCGACGCAACGCGCAACACCUUACCAAGGUUUGACAUCCACCGAACCCCGGUGAAAGCUGGGGGUGCCUUCGGGAGCGGUGAGACAGGUGCUGCAUGGCUGUCGU
RNAcentral lists this ribosomal RNA (264 nucleotides) under uncultured bacterium. Its description in RNAcentral is "partial 16S ribosomal RNA". It matches the Rfam family "Bacterial small subunit ribosomal RNA", at positions 793 to 1055 of the family's 1533-position model. The record is from RNAcentral.